RNAcentral lists this ribosomal RNA (465 nucleotides) under uncultured bacterium. RNAcentral describes it as "partial 16S ribosomal RNA". It matches the Rfam family "Bacterial small subunit ribosomal RNA", at positions 28 to 507 of the family's 1533-position model. The record is from RNAcentral.
GACGAACGCUGGCGGCGUGCUUAACACAUGCAAGUCGAACGGAAAGGCCCCUUCGGGGGUCCUCGAGUGGCGAACAGGUGAGUAACACGUGAGUAACCUGCCCUUGACUUCGGGAUAACUUCAGGAAACUGGGGCUAAUACCGGAUAGGAAUCCUUGCUGCAUGGUGGGGGUUGGAAAGCUUCGGCGGUUUUGGAUGGACUCGCGGCUUAUCAGCUUGUUGGUGGGGUAGUGGCUUACCAAGGCUUUGACGGGUAGCCGGCCUGAGAGGGCGACCGGCCACAUUGGGACUGAGAUACGGCCCAGACUCCUACGGGAGGAAGCAGUGGGGAAUAUUGCACAAUGGGCGGAAGCCUGAUGCAGCAACGCCGCGUGCGGGAGGACGGCCUUCGGGUUGUAAACCGCUUUCAGCAGGGGCGAAGCUUGUGGUGACGGUACCUGCAGAAGAAGCACCGGCUAACUACGUG